Pelobates cultripes (western spadefoot toad) is the source of this 467-nucleotide non-coding RNA. The record is from the annotation of a GenBank genome assembly. NCBI's taxonomy places the organism in Eukaryota, Metazoa, Chordata, Amphibia, Anura, Pelobatidae.
GAACAACACACUUCUGAUUCUCGUGCCUCCCCUGUGCUACUCUAUUCUGUGACGUUAAUGGCUCCAUAGUGUAUGCUGGUAGACUACAGCUCCCACAAUACAGCAAGAAGUGUGAGGGCAUCCUGGGACAUCACAGUAUAUUCCCUCUGCUCCCUGAUCCCCAUUUCCUCCCCAAAAAUAUAAUUCAGAAAGGAAGACCUACCUGAGGUGUUGCAUACCUUAAUAUGGCUGCUCCUUUCAUGGUGUGGCAUGUCUCUGGAGCUCCAUUGGUGGUAAGUGCUGAUGUCUGCUGAAGCUCCCACGCAUAUAGGGACCUCUUCCUCCUUGACAUAGCAUUCAGAAGUGGAUCGGCGGGAGGGAGACCAGGUUUGUGUGUGGGUCGUGGCACACUGAAAUACAGCAGGCGCCAUCUUAACUUAGGUGUUUUAUUUUUAACCCCUGCAGUGACAUUGCUGUAAGAGUGUAUA